CCUAUACUGCGCAUGCGCGGACUCUGAUCGUCUGAGUAAAGCAUUUUCUGGGAACAGGUCAGUCUCUCCCUGCUCCCAACACUCUCAGCCAUCCGAGGGGAGGGGGUUCUAUAUUAGGGGGGUUUCAGUGCAUUAUAUUGGGGAGUUAAAGUUAAUAUGCAUUUUAGACUUUAUAUUUAGAGGAUGUAAAAAAUAUAAAAGUCAAAUUUGGAAACUGGUUAAGAAAAGUCACACUGUGGUAUCCAAGAAGGAGAAAGUUCAAUCACAUGUAAAGAAAGGCUGUAUGGCAUUAGGAAGGUAGUAUCUUAAUAAUAUAAUGGUCUCUUUCCCUGGACGGUCCACGAGUCUUAAUCACUGGGGUCUGCGCUAUAUAGGGGGGUCUGCGCUCUAUAGGGGGGGUCUGCACUAUAUAUGGGGGUCUGCGCUGUAUGGGGGGGUCUGCACUAUAUAUGGGGGUUUGCGCUGUAUGGGGGUGUGCGCUGUAUGGGGGUCUGCGCUAUAUAUGGGGGUCUGCGCUAUAUAUGGGUGUGCGCUGUAUGGGGGCAGUGUAUUAUAUUUGGGGGCUGUGCGUUAGAUGGUGAGCUGUACAGUACGUGUGGCCUGUGUGUUAGAUGUGUACAACCCUAGUUUCACAGAAAAAUAUUUAUUUCCUAGAUAUCAUAUGCCAUGGCAUGCUUUUUGCUAUGAAACCGCAGCCAUCCAGUCACUCGCCAGAGAAGGAUGAGAAACUGCACCCCAGCGAGAGGGACAGCCCCACAUCUGCAACCAAAUCCGUCGGUCACCAAAUUCAGUAAUCUCCGUCUCUUUGUGCAUUGUGUAUGUAUGGUACUCCCAAUUCUUAUAUUUAAUCCGGUGUGUCUCCCACAAUCUUUGUGUCUGUCUGCUGUAUGUAUGUGGCACGCAAGUCUGCACGCACUGUGUCUGUUAUGCCAGUUACUCUAACCAGUUUAUUUCUUUUUGUGUGUGUCACAGCUCUGACAAGCAUGUUCUCCUAUGGGAUACGAAGUACAUGAAGAGGAAUGAAGAAGCCCAUGUUUGAUGCUCGUCUCCAGGGUGGAGUAUUGAAUUUAUAACUAAUGAAGUGGCAUCUGACACAUGACAAGCUGCUCCUGUUUGCACAGCAACAUUGUGUACUGUGACCACUGUCUAGUUCAGAGGUAGGUAACCUUGGGCAGUCCAGAUGCUGUGAAUUACAUCUCCCAUAAUGCUGGCAAACCAUUAUGGGAGGUGUAGUCCAAAACAUCUGGAAUACCGAAUGCGUAUGAAUGCAAAGUAUGGUGUGUAUGAAUGGUCAGUAACAAGGGUUGAAGCCUUGACGUGGCGUUACUGCUCACAUGUGUAUUCAUGUGCCAAUUCAACCAAUGUGAGUCACUGUAAUACUUAUAAGGUAACCAAAAGUACUAUGAUUGUGGAGAAUGAAACGCCUGUAUCAUCUACACACUGUUUACACCGUGACUGUAUCUCCUACACACUGCUCACACUGUGACCGUAUCUCCUAAACACUGCUCACACUGUGACCGUAUCUCCUAAACACUGCUGACACUGUGACCGUAUCUCCUAAACACUGCUGACACUGUGACCGUAUCUCCUAUACACUGCUCACACUGUGACCGUAUCUCCUAUACACUGCUCACACUGUGACCGUAUUUCCUAAACACUGCUUACACUGUGACCGUAUUUCCUAAACACUGCUCACACUGUGACCGUAUCUCCUAUACACUGCUCACACUGUGACUGUAUCUCCUAUACACUGCUCACACUGUGACCGUAUCUCCUAAACACUGCUUACACUGUGACCUUAUCUCCUAAACACUGCUUACACUGUGACCUUAUCUCCUAUACACUGCUUACACUGUGACCGUAUCUCCUAUACACUGCUUACACUGUGACCGUAUCUCCUAAACACUGCUCACACUGUGACCUUAUCUCCUAAACACUGCUUACACUGUGACCGUAUCUCCUAUACACUGCUUACACUGUGACCGUAUCUCCUCUACACUGUUUACACUGUGACCAUAUCUCCUAUACACUGCUUACACUGUGACCGUAUCCCAUAAACACUGCUUACACUGUGANNNNNNNNNNNNNNNNNNNNNNNNNNNNNNNNNNNNNNNNNNNNNNNNNNNNNNNNNNNNNNNNNNNNNNNNNNNNNNNNNNNNNNNNNNNNNNNNNNNNGGGGUCUGCGCUGUAUAGGGGGGUCUGCGCUAUAUAAGGGGGUCUGCGCCGUAUAUGGGGGUCUGCGCUGUAUGGGGAGGUCUGCGUAGUAUAUGGGGGGCUGCGCAGUAUAUUGGGGGGUCUGUGAAAUGUAUUGGGGUGGCCUGUGUGUUAAAUGUGGGGGGCAGUGUGUUAGAUGGAGGGGCUGUUUGUUACAUGUGGGGGGGCAGUGUAUUAUAUUUGGGGGCUCUGCGUUAGAUGGUGAGCUGUACAGUACGUGUGGCCUGUGUGUUAGAUGUGUACAACCCUAGUUUCACAGAAAAAUAUUUAUUUCCUAGAUAUCAUAUGCCAAAGCAUGCUUUUUGCUAUGAAACCGCAGCCAUCUAGUUACUCGCCAGAGAAGGAUGAGAAACUGCACCCCAGCGAGAGGGACAGCCCCACAUCUGCAACCAAAUCCGUCGGUCACCGAAUUCAGUAAUCUCUGUCUCUUUGUGCAUUGUGUAUGUAUGGUACUCCCAAUUCUUAUAUUUAAUCCGGUGUGUCUCCCACAAUCUUUGUGUCUGUCUGCUGUAUGUAUGUGGCACGCAAGUCUGCAUGCACUGUGUCUGUUAUGCCAGUUACUCUAACCAGUUUAUUUAUUUUUGUGUGUGUCACAGCUCUGACAAGCAUGUUCUCCUAUGGGACACGAAGUACAUGAAGAGGAAUGAAGAAGCCCAUGUUUGAUGCUCGUCUCCAGGGUGGAGUAUUGAAUUUAUAACUAAUGAAGUGGCAUCUGACACAUGACAAGCUGCUCCUGUUUGCACAGCAACUUCAACAUUGUGUACUGUGAUCACGGCAUAGUUCAGAG
Molecule: long non-coding RNA, 3001 nt
Filed under: Pelobates cultripes (western spadefoot toad)
Lineage: Eukaryota; Metazoa; Chordata; Amphibia; Anura; Pelobatidae
Source: RNAcentral